This 446-nucleotide ribosomal RNA is filed under the name uncultured bacterium. RNAcentral describes it as "partial 16S ribosomal RNA". It matches the Rfam family "Bacterial small subunit ribosomal RNA", at positions 338 to 795 of the family's 1533-position model. The record is from RNAcentral.
CCUACGGGAGGCAGCAGUCGAGAAUCAUUCACAAUGGGGGAAACCCUGAUGGUGCGACGCCGCGUGGGGGAAUGAAGGUCUUCUGAUUGUAAACCCCUGUCAUGUGGGAGCAAAUUAAAAAGAUAGUACCACAAGAGGAAGAGACGGCUAACUCGGUGCCAGCAGCCGCGGUAAUACAGAGGUCUCAAGCGUUGUUCGGAAUCACUGGGCGUAAGGCGUGCGUAGGCUGUUUCGUAAGUCGUGUGUGAAAGGCGCGGGCUCAACCCGCGGACGGCACAUGAUACUGCGAGACUAGAGUAAUGGAGGGGGAACCGGAAUUCUCGGUGUAGCAGUGAAAUGCGUAGAUAUCGAGAGGAACACUCGUGGCGAAGGCGGGUUCCUGGACAUUAACUGACGCUGAGGCACGAAGGCCAGGGGAGCGAAAGGGAUUAGAUACCCCUGUAGUC